RNAcentral lists this ribosomal RNA (386 nucleotides) under uncultured bacterium. Its description in RNAcentral is "bacterial SSU rRNA". It matches the Rfam family "Bacterial small subunit ribosomal RNA", at positions 29 to 409 of the family's 1533-position model. The record is from RNAcentral.
AUUGAACGCUGGCGGCAUGCCUUACACAUGCAAGUCGAACGGCAGCACGGGGGCGAACCCUGUGGCGAGUGGCGAACGGGUGAGUAACAUAUCGGAACGUGCCCUGGAGUGGGGGAGUAACUAGUCGGAAAGACUAGCUAAUACCGCAUACGAUCUACCGGAGUGAAAGUGGGGGAGUCGCAAGACCUCAUGCUCGUGGAGCGGCCGAUAUCUGAUUAGCUAGUUGGGGGGUUAAAGGGCCUACCAAGGCAUCGAUCAGUAGCUGGUCUGAGGAGGACGACCAGCCACACUGGGACUGAGACACGGCCCAGACUCCUACGGGAGGCAGCAGUGGGGAAUUUUGGACAAUGGGGGCAACCCUGAUCCAGCAAUGCCGCGUGAGUGAA